RNAcentral lists this ribosomal RNA (453 nucleotides) under uncultured bacterium. RNAcentral describes it as "bacterial SSU rRNA". It matches the Rfam family "Bacterial small subunit ribosomal RNA", at positions 926 to 1379 of the family's 1533-position model. The record is from RNAcentral.
CAAGCGGUGGAGCAUGUGGUUUAAUUCGACGCAACGCGAAGAACCUUACCUGGGCUCGAAAUGUACAGGAAUCCGGUGGAAACAUCGGCGCCCAGCAAUGGGCCUGUAUAUAGGUGCUGCAUGGCUGUCGUCAGCUCGUGUCGUGAGAUGUUGGGUUAAGUCCCGCAACGAGCGCAACCCUUACCUCCAGUUGCCAUCAUUAAGUUGGGCACUCUGGCGGAACCGCCUCGGAUAACGGGGAGGAAGGUGGGGAUGACGUCAAGUCCUCAUGGCCUUUAUGUCCAGGGCUACACACGUGCUACAAUGGCCGGUACAAACCGUCGCAAAGCCGCGAGGUGGAGCUAAUCGGAAAAAGCCGGCCUCAGUUCGGAUCGCAGUCUGCAACUCGACUGCGUGAAGCUGGAAUCGCUAGUAAUCGUGGAUCAGAAUGCCACGGUGAAUACGUUCCCGGGC